GAGCCUGAGAACGGCUACUACAUCUACGGAAGGCAGCAGGCGCGUAAUUACCCAAUCCUGACUCAGGGAGGUGGUGACAAGAUAUAACAACGCAAUUUCAUUGUGAUUGUAGUGAGGGUAUUCCAAAGCGAACCACUAGUACGAUUAGAGGGCAAGUCUGGUGCCAGCAGCCGCGGUAAUUCCAGCUCUAAUAGCGUAUAUUAAAGUUGCUGCAGUUAAAAGCUCGUAGUUGGAUUUCAAGGAUUGUGUACUCUUUCAUGUUAUUCAUCUUUCUAGUCUUUGACUUGUUACUGUGAGAAAAUUAGAGUGUUAAAGCAAGCUUUUGCAGAUACAUUAGCAUGGAAUACGAAUGAGUCUAGAUCUAGUUAUUCUAGACCGACAAAAGAGACAGAGGGGGCAGAGAUAUUGCAGAGGUGAAUUCUUGGAUUGUCAACGACUUUCUGUAUGCUAUAGCAUUUGCAAGGAUGGUUUCAUUAUCAGACGACCACUCCGCGCAUCCAAGACAUCAGAUACUGUCGUAGUCUAUCUAUAACUACGCCGACUAGGGAUUGGAUGCAUUUACAUUUCAGUACUUAUGAGAAUCAAGUCUUGGUCUGGGGGGUUGUCCCAGACUGAACUUAAGAAUUGACGGAGGCCCGAGGACCGCGCUAUGACUCACCGGGACUACAGUCACUGAGAUGCAUGAGCUCUGAUCUGGGGGCAUGCGUCUAUGGGAGAUUGCGUAUCGACAGACCUACGUCAGUCACUUAGUGUUCC
Molecule: ribosomal RNA, 756 nt
Filed under: uncultured rumen protozoa
Lineage: Eukaryota
Description: bacterial SSU rRNA
Rfam family: Eukaryotic small subunit ribosomal RNA (bases 1-596)
Source: RNAcentral